Molecule: long non-coding RNA, 652 nt
Organism: Hyla sarda
Lineage: Eukaryota; Metazoa; Chordata; Amphibia; Anura; Hylidae
Exons: 3
Source: RefSeq, a predicted model, not a curated record
UGCGUGCUGAAAUUCCACCACGUCAUCACGCGACCGGAAGGUCGUGUAGUGCCGGGGGUUAGUCGGAAGUACCCACGGCGAAAUCCGGAACAUCGACAGCCGCCUUGUAUGAUUUUAUCAGUAAGACAAAAUCAAUGGAGGUGUGACUGCUGGGACCCUCGCCGAUACAGAGUUCAGGUACAUUUGGCCACCCCAGAGGCUGUUCAGGCGAGUUAAAUCAUGGAAGUACCUCAUUCUGGUACUCAAGAGCUGGAGGGGACCUCUGGAGUCCCUGGGUGGUUACCCGUAGCAACACAGAAGAAGCAAAGAUGUUAUAGAAUCCAGAUAGACCAACAGAAGUCAAGAAUGAGGAAACUGCCAUUGCCAAUGCUAUUUCAUCUUAUUUGUGUCUUUUGGAGAAGAGUCACUGGAGAUCAUUCAUAUAUGGAAAAGAAAACACUAAAAUGUGGAUUUCUUAUUGGGGAAGCCACCCACCAGGACACAGAGAUCAUCUCCACACUUUUAAAAUGCUCCAGCUCUUCUACAUUGCCUUGUAUUUAAUCAGAUUUAGUGCCGUAAUGGGUCACAUGACCCUUUCUACAUGUAUUUUAACUUGUGUGUUAGGUUGUGAAGCCAGUUUACGAUUAAGCACGUUCAGUGCGAAACACGUUAG